This 540-nucleotide ribosomal RNA is filed under the name Wolbachia endosymbiont of Siphoninus phillyreae. RNAcentral describes it as "bacterial SSU rRNA". It matches the Rfam family "Bacterial small subunit ribosomal RNA", at positions 240 to 797 of the family's 1533-position model. The record is from RNAcentral. RNAcentral also lists the same sequence under 1 other name. Lineage: Bacteria; Pseudomonadati; Pseudomonadota; Alphaproteobacteria; Rickettsiales; Anaplasmataceae.
AUUAGCUAGUUGGUGGAGUAAUAGCCUACCAAGGCAAUGAUCUAUAGCUGAUCUGAGAGGAUGAUCAGCCACACUGGAACUGAGAUACGGUCCAGACUCCUACGGGAGGCAGCAGUGGGGAAUAUUGGACAAUGGGCGAAAGCCUGAUCCAGCCAUGCCGCAUGAGUGAAGAAGGCCUUUGGGUUGUAAAGCUCUUUUAGUGAGGAAGAUAAUGACGGUACUCACAGAAGAAGUCCUGGCUAACUCCGUGCCAGCAGCCGCGGUAAUACGGAGAGGGCUAGCGUUAUUCGGAAUUAUUGGGCGUAAAGGGCGCGUAGGCUGAUUAAUAAGUUAAAAGUGAAAUCCCGAGGCUUAACCUUGGAAUUGCUUUUAAAACUAUUAAUCUAGAGAUUGAAAGAGGAUAGAGGAAUUCCUGAUGUAGAGGUAAAAUUCGUAAAUAUUAGGAGGAACACCAGUGGCGAAGGCGUCUAUCUGGUUCAAAUCUGACGCUGAAGCGCGAAGGCGUGGGGAGCAAACAGGAUUAGAUACCCUGGUAGUCCA